ACAAUCUACACAGUAGAUAUCAAUGCUCCACAAGACACUCGAUCAAUAUAAUAAUGACUAUUUUGGGACAUCACCUAAGGGCAAGUCAUACCCCGUGUCUUUUGGGACUCAUACCCAAGGGCAGGACCAACCCCGUGUCUUUAGGGACUAAAACCCAGGGGCAGGACCAACCCCAUACACCCACAUCGGAGUGUCUUCCUCGAGGGCUUUAGGGACUUUCACCCAAGGACCCACGGUCCCACAUAAACAAUAUAUCAAAU
This 260-nucleotide long non-coding RNA is filed under the name Vitis vinifera (wine grape). Its description in RNAcentral is "long non-coding RNA (VVIN_LNC007316)". Lineage: Eukaryota; Viridiplantae; Streptophyta; Magnoliopsida; Vitales; Vitaceae. The record is from RNAcentral.